Molecule: long non-coding RNA, 416 nt
Filed under: Oncorhynchus kisutch (coho salmon)
Lineage: Eukaryota; Metazoa; Chordata; Actinopteri; Salmoniformes; Salmonidae
Description: lncRNA (ENSOKIG00005042214.1)
Source: RNAcentral
CAAAGAACUCAGAUCUGCUCUUAGAUCAGAUGUCCUCUCUCUCUUUCCAGGGUGGGUGGGAUGCUAGCGGACCUCUGUUUUUGUUAACCAUUGAUGUAUUUCAAAUGGAGUGAGGAACAGUACAGACAGAGCAACUGUUCUUGUGGAUGAGUGUGGCCUCUGAGGAAAGAGACAAAUGGGCUGUCGAGAGGAAGAGUUUGUCAUUUUAGUCUCCUCCAUACACAGGGUCUAUCUUUCAAGACUGCAUCAGCCCUCCUGUGUGUACUGGGAAGAAACCUGCUUUGGGGAGAGGAGGAGAGCUUGAGCUUCUUAGGGCUUGAUGUUAAAUCUUCCACAAGCCCGGCCCGUCUCUCUUAAUAUCAUCAGAGAGUACAUUCACAAAGACUUGAGGCUCAAAUAAAGAGCAAUAUGGUAUU